AAAUCUCCCGCGAACUGAGGAGGUUUGUGAAAGUCCCUCGGGACGCCUUCGGGCUUCGCCCUCAGGCUUUCCCUCGGGACUUUCACAAACCUCCCUCGCUUUGCGGGAGAUUUAAUCACUAUAUU
Non-coding RNA from Paramuricea clavata, 125 nucleotides. NCBI's taxonomy places the organism in Eukaryota, Metazoa, Cnidaria, Anthozoa, Malacalcyonacea, Plexauridae. The record is from the annotation of a GenBank genome assembly.